Molecule: small RNA, 1227 nt
Filed under: Pan troglodytes (chimpanzee)
Lineage: Eukaryota; Metazoa; Chordata; Mammalia; Primates; Hominidae
Description: processed transcript
Source: RNAcentral
GUGGUCAGGACAAGCCCUUGCUGUCUGCCUGGCCCAGCCCUGUGGUGCCUCCAGGACAUGUGAUUCUUCGGUGUCAUUCUUAUCUUGGGUUUAACAACUUCAGUGUGUACAAGGAAGAUGGGGUGCCUGGCACUGAGCUCUACAACAGAAUAUUCUGGAAGAGCCUUUUCAUGGGCCCUGCGACCCCAGCACACACAGGGACGUACAGAUGUCGGGGUUCACACCCACACUCCCCCAGUGGGUGGUCGGCACCCAGCAACCCCCUGGUGAUCAUGGUUACAGGAGUCCACACAAAACCUUCCCUCCUGGCCCACCCAGGUCCCCUGGUGAAAUCAGAAGAGACAGUCAUCCUGCAAUGUUGGACAUCCUGCAGAUGUCAUGUUUGAGCACUUCCUUCUGCACAGAGAGGGGAAGUUUAACGACACUUUGCGCCUCAUUGGAGAGCACCAUGAUGGGGUCUCCAAGGCCAACUUCUCCAUCGGUCGCAUGACGGAAGACCUGGCAGGGACCUACAGAUGCUACGGUUCUGUUACUCACUCCCCCUAUCAGUUGUCAGCUCCCAGUGACUCUCUGGACAUUGUUAUCAUAGGUCUACGUGGGAAACCUUCUCUCUCAGCCCAGCUGGGCCCCACAGUUCAGGCAGGAGAGAGCGUGACCUUGUCCUGCAGCUCCCGGAGCUCCUAUGACAUCUACCAUCUAUCCAGGGAGGGGGAGGCUCAUGAACGUAGGCUCCCUGCAGAGCCCAAGGUCAAUGGAACAUUCCAGGCUGACUUUCCUCUGGGCCCUGCCACCCAUGGAGGGACCUACAGAUGCUUCGGCUCUUUCCGUGACUCUCCCUACAAGUGGUCAGACCUUAGUGACCCACUGCUUGUUUCUGUCACAGAUUCUAUGAAGGAGAAAGGAAGAGAUGUGAUACUGUAAUUUUGCUCCAUUUGUCUAAAAUGGGUAGGCUGCAACUCCUCUUGAAGUGAUACCUUUUCUAGCUCUUGUUGGAGGUGUCUCAGGACUCAUUACUUCGGGGAACCUGCAACUGUGUCAGUCUGGGGAAACUGCAAAUAUUCUUGUCUUACAUUUGUCUCCAGCCAAUUGUGAUGGACUCCAGUGACCUGCAAUUGCUGUUACUGCAGGUAAAAUGUACCUGAGUCAGGCCACAGUUCUCCUGGACUAUGAGCCCCUGGCCAUGUUCCUGAGGCAAUUCUGUUCAUCUAAAUAUAAUAAUAAUAACAC